RNAcentral lists this ribosomal RNA (118 nucleotides) under Pontibacter aydingkolensis. Its description in RNAcentral is "partial 16S ribosomal RNA". It matches the Rfam family "Bacterial small subunit ribosomal RNA", at positions 1 to 117 of the family's 1533-position model. Lineage: Bacteria; Pseudomonadati; Bacteroidota; Cytophagia; Cytophagales; Hymenobacteraceae. The record is from RNAcentral.
ACAAUGGAGAGUUUGAUCCUGGCUCAGGAUGAACGCUAGCGGCAGGCCUAAUACAUGCAAGUCGAACGAGCCACAGGACUUCGGUUCUGUGGUUAGUGGCGCACGGGUGCGUAACGCG